RNAcentral lists this ribosomal RNA (468 nucleotides) under uncultured bacterium. RNAcentral describes it as "partial 16S ribosomal RNA". It matches the Rfam family "Bacterial small subunit ribosomal RNA", at positions 28 to 507 of the family's 1533-position model. The record is from RNAcentral.
GACGAACGCUGGCGGCGUGCUUAACACAUGCAAGUCGAACGGAAAGGCCCUGCUUUUGUGGGGUGCUCGAGUGGCGAACGGGUGAGUAACACGUGAGUAACCUGCCCUUGACUUUGGGAUAACUUCAGGAAACUGGGGCUAAUACCGGAUAGGAGCUCCUGCUGCAUGGUGGGGGUUGGAAAGUUUCGGCGGUUGGGGAUGGACUCGCGGCUUAUCAGCUUGUUGGUGGGGUAGUGGCUUACCAAGGCUUUGACGGGUAGCCGGCCUGAGAGGGUGACCGGCCACAUUGGGACUGAGAUACGGCCCAGACUCCUACGGGAGGAAGCAGUGGGGAAUAUUGCACAAUGGGCGGAAGCCUGAUGCAGCAACGCCGCGUGCGGGAUGACGGCCUUCGGGUUGUAAACCGCUUUGGCCUGUGACGAAGCGUGAGUGACGGUAAUGGGUAAAGAAGCACCGGCUAACUACGUG